Molecule: small RNA, 85 nt
Filed under: Salmonella enterica subsp. enterica serovar Thompson
Lineage: Bacteria; Pseudomonadati; Pseudomonadota; Gammaproteobacteria; Enterobacterales; Enterobacteriaceae
Also listed under: 5 other names
Description: partial RtT sRNA
Rfam family: RtT RNA
About the family: This family represents a bacterial cis-regulatory element known as RtT RNA. The exact function of RtT is unknown although it is thought that it may be involved in changing the cellular response in relation to amino acid starvation.
Source: RNAcentral
AUAUCUCUCUGUACGGGAAGGAUGAGAAGCUUCGACUAAGGUUCGAUUCGAGCGUCAGCGAGAAAGCGUUGCCGCAGGCAACGAC